UGGGGAAUUUUGGACAAUGGGCGAAAGCCUGAUCCAGCCAUGCCGCGUGAGUGAAGAAGGCCUUCGGGUUGUAAAGCUCUUUUAGUCGGAAAGAAAGAGUUGCAAUGAAUAAUUGUGAUUUAUGACGGUACCGACAGAAAAAGCACCGGCUAACUACGUGCCAGCAGCCGCGGUAAUACGUAGGGUGCGAGCGUUAAUCGGAAUUACUGGGCGUAAAGCGUGCGCAGGCGGUUUUGUAAGACGGAUGUGAAAUCCCCGGGCUUAACCUGGGAACUGCAUUCGUGACUGCAAGGCUAGAGUAUGGCAGAGGGGGGUAGAAUUCCACGUGUAGCAGUGAAAUGCGUAGAGAUGUGGAGGAAUACCGAUGGCGAAGGCAGCCCCCUGGGCCAAUACUGACGCUCAUGCACGAAAGCGUGGGGAGCAAACA
This 427-nucleotide ribosomal RNA is filed under the name uncultured bacterium. RNAcentral describes it as "bacterial SSU rRNA". It matches the Rfam family "Bacterial small subunit ribosomal RNA", at positions 355 to 774 of the family's 1533-position model. The record is from RNAcentral.